GAGUUUGAUCAUGGCUCAGGAUGAACGCUGGCGGCGUGCCUAACACAUGCAAGUCGAACGAAGCAUUUAAGUGAAUUCCUUCGGGAUGAAGCUUUUAUGACUUAGUGGCGGACGGGUGAGUAACGCGUGAGCAACCUGCCUUUCAGAGGGGGAUAACAGUUGGAAACGACUGCUAAUACCGCAUAACGUAUAUUUAAGGCAUCUUAGAUAUACCAAAGCUGAGGCGCUGAAAGAUGGGCUCGCGUCCGAUUAGAUAGUUGGUGGGGUAACGGCCUACCAAGUCGACGAUCGGUAGCCGGACUGAGAGGUUGAUCGGCCACAUUGGGACUGAGACACGGCCCAGACUCCUACGGGAGGCAGCAGUGGGGGAUAUUGCACAAUGGGGGAAACCCUGAUGCAGCAACGCCGCGUGAACGAUGAAGGCCUUAGGGUUGUAAAGUUCUGAUCUGUGGGAAGAAGAAAGUGACGGUACCACAGGAGAAAGCCCCGGCUAAAUACGUGCCAGCAGCCGCGGUAAUACGUAUGGGGCAAGCGUUAUCCGGAAUUAUUGGGCGUAAAGAGUGCGUAGGUGGUUACCUAAGCGCAAGGUUUAAUCUUGAGGCUCAACCUCAUUCUGCCUUGCGAACUGGGCUACUUGAGUGCUGGAGGGGAAAGCGGAAUUCCCAGUGUAGCGGUGAAAUGCGUAGAUAUUGGGGAAGAACACCGGUGGCGAAGGCGGCUUUCUGGACAGUAACUGACACUGAGGCACGAAAGCGUGGGGAGCAAACAGGAUUAGAUACCCUG
Molecule: ribosomal RNA, 783 nt
Filed under: uncultured bacterium
Lineage: Bacteria
Description: bacterial SSU rRNA
Rfam family: Bacterial small subunit ribosomal RNA
Source: RNAcentral